UUUACUUUGUCAUGUAUCUCCUUGUGUAUCAAGUAGCUUCUUCCUUGUUUACUUGCUUCACUUCCUGUCCGUGUCCCACUUCCCUCCCCUGUGAUUACCUGCACUGCACUGAUUAGUUUCACCUGUGUUGAUGUUGUCUCCCUGCUCCAGGUGUUUAGUGGUUCCUUCAGUCUCUCAGUGAUCCAGAGCUUCUCUCCUUUUGUUUUUUUUUAAUUGGGUCUUGUUUUUUGGACAUUUGCUUUUUGGAUUCUACUGCCGUGACCUUCCUGCAAGCCCUCUGGUACGCUCCAAAUAUAGACCACAGUGACUCUGGAUGGCGUGAUGGAUGUCCGUCUAUAGACAUCUGGGAGUCUGAAAGAAAAACCGCCACAUUGUCUCUAUAACAUCAGUUCCACUUUGCCGGGAAUUUGCAGGAUGCUGCUCUGAAGUCAUUCCAAGGCUGUCUCUCGCAUCCAGAUCAUCCAUCCAUCUUUAUAAGCUCCUUAUCCUCUUCAGGGUCAUAGGAGGCUGUUACUAUUUGCAGGCACA
Molecule: long non-coding RNA, 528 nt
Organism: Solea solea (common sole)
Lineage: Eukaryota; Metazoa; Chordata; Actinopteri; Pleuronectiformes; Soleidae
Exons: 3
Source: RefSeq, a predicted model, not a curated record